RNAcentral lists this unclassified non-coding RNA (229 nucleotides) under uncultured fungus. RNAcentral's name for it is "sequence contains ITS1, 5.8S rRNA gene". The stretch from base 181 to 229 matches the Rfam family "5.8S ribosomal RNA", at positions 1 to 49 of the family's 154-position model. The record is from RNAcentral. Lineage: Eukaryota; Fungi.
UCUCCGUAGGUGAACCUGCGGAGGGAUCAUUACUGAGUGAGGGCUCACGCCCGACCUCCCACCCUUUGUGAACCCAUCUUGCUGCUUCGGGCGGGACCCUGCCGGCACUCGGUCGCCGGGCGCCCCCGAAGGUCUCCCAACACUGCAUCUUUGCGUCGGAGUUUGAAACAAAUAAAACAAAACUUUCAACAACGGAUCUCUUGGUUCUGGCAUCGAUGAAGAACGCAGC